UCCGAGUUGUCCCCGGCAGUCCCCUUAGAGUCCCCGGCUUUACCCGCUGGCAACUAAGGGCAGGGGUUGCGCUCGUUGCGGCACUUAAGCCAACACCUCACGGCACGAGCUGACGACGGCCAUGCAGCACCUGUACACCGGCCUUGCGGAGGCCAUGUCUCCACGGCUUUCCGGUGUAUGUCAAACCCAGGUAAGGUUCUUCGCGUUGCAUCGAAUUAAUCCACAUGCUCCGCCGCUUGUGCGGGCCCCCGUCAAUUCCUUUGAGUUUUAAUCUUGCGACCGUACUCCCCAGGCGGAAUGCUUAAAGCGUUAGCUGCGCCACUGACAGGCAAGCCUGCCAACGGCUAGCACUCAACGUUUACGGCUGGGACUAC
This 374-nucleotide unclassified non-coding RNA is filed under the name uncultured bacterium. RNAcentral describes it as "contains 16S-23S intergenic spacer region". The record is from RNAcentral.